AGAAAAAUAAGCUAAAUUAUUAAAGCUUUUGGGUUCAUACCUCAAAUAUAGAUUAAAAUCUUUUUUCUA
RNAcentral lists this transfer RNA (69 nucleotides) under Greenidea psidii. RNAcentral describes it as "tRNA-Met". Lineage: Eukaryota; Metazoa; Arthropoda; Insecta; Hemiptera; Aphididae. The record is from RNAcentral.